CAGCCGCCACGGUAAUACGUAGGUGGCAAGCGUUGUCCGGAAUUAUUGGGCGUAAAGGGCUCGCAGGCGGUUUCUUAAGUCUGAUGUGAAAGCCCCCGGCUCAACCGGGGAGGGUCAUUGGAAACUGGGAAACUUGAGUGCAGAAGAGGAGAGUGGAAUUCCACGUGUAGCGGUGAAAUGCGAAGAGAUGUGGAGGAACACCAGUGGCGAAGGCGACUCUCUGGUCUGUAACUGACGCUGAGGAGCGAAAGCGUGGGGAGCGAACAGGAUUAGAUACCCCGGUAGUCCCUGUCUCUUAUAA
This 301-nucleotide ribosomal RNA is filed under the name uncultured bacterium. RNAcentral's name for it is "partial 16S ribosomal RNA". It matches the Rfam family "Bacterial small subunit ribosomal RNA", at positions 509 to 809 of the family's 1533-position model. The record is from RNAcentral.